RNAcentral lists this ribosomal RNA (231 nucleotides) under uncultured bacterium. Its description in RNAcentral is "partial 16S ribosomal RNA". It matches the Rfam family "Bacterial small subunit ribosomal RNA", at positions 524 to 754 of the family's 1533-position model. The record is from RNAcentral.
UACAGAGGUCUCAAGCGUUGUUCGGAUUCAUUGGGCGUAAAGGGUGCGUAGGUGGCGGGGCAAGUUUGGUGUGAAAUCCCGGGGCUCAACCCCGGAACUGCACUGAAUACUGCCUUGCUUGAGCACUGGAGAGGGAACUGGAAUUUACGGUGUAGCAGUGAAAUGCGUAGAUAUCGUAAGGAAGACCAGUGGCGAAGGCGAGUUCCUGGACAGUUGCUGACACUGAGGCAC